GUCUACAGCCAUGCCACCCUGAACAAGCCUGAUGUCUGAUCUGGGAAGCUAAGCAGGGUCGGGCAUGGUUAGUACUUGAAUGAGAGACCGCGUAGGAAGACCAGAUGCUGUAGGUG
RNAcentral lists this ribosomal RNA (116 nucleotides) under Pteropus alecto (black flying fox). Lineage: Eukaryota; Metazoa; Chordata; Mammalia; Chiroptera; Pteropodidae. The record is from RNAcentral.